Long non-coding RNA from Sciurus carolinensis (gray squirrel), 4404 nucleotides. RefSeq lists it as uncharacterized. The record is from RefSeq and is a predicted model, not a curated record. Lineage: Eukaryota; Metazoa; Chordata; Mammalia; Rodentia; Sciuridae. The transcript is spliced from 3 exons.
CCCAGUGCCCUUGACUGACCUCGGCUUGACCUCUCUUUGGCCGCUGCUGCUGCUGAGUGCGACGGGCACCCUCGAGAAGCUGGGAGCGAAGGGACCGAGCGCCCCAUGGGGAAGCCUGCAGGUCCGGGCCCAGCAGAGCAUGCCGGCCGCUUCCCGGUGCGCACCUCGCGGAGGACGGUCCGCCCACGCUCCGCCUCCGGCCUCCGCUCGGAGCCCGGCCCAUUUCUGUUUAGAGCUCCGCCCCUCUCCCCGCCCUCAAGUCCCCGCCCCCGACGUGUCCCCUACGUAAUCCCAGAGACCCGUCCUUCCCUGGCCCCGCCCCCUGCGCCUUUACGUCAUCUCCGCAGGCUCGACUCGGCUGUGCUGGUCACGCCCUGGGCGGAGUCACUCACGGCUCUGGCCCCGCCCCGCCCCGCCCCGCCCCGCCCCGCCGUGCUCUCUUUGCUGGUGGCACAAGGAUGUGGGAGUCUGGUCCACGCCGCUGCAGACGCCCCCACUUCAGAGCGCGAGCUUACGCGGCUUCGGGGCGGGUCCUUGGCAAGCCAAGGAGGCUCUGCCUUAGCCGGCGCCCAGUCCCCCACCUGGCCUGUUCAUCCGUCCUCACGCACAGCCCUGGGUGGUUGCCAUUCUUUCUGUGCCGCCGGCGCGGGCGAGAGGCGCCAGGAGUGGCUCCUGUCGUCCGGGCGCCAGCUUGGUGGCGCCAUGCUCCACAGCUGGGGCUCGACGAAGAGGAAACUGAAGCGCAGAGAGGAUAAAUGAUUUGUGCAAAAGGCAGAACCAGAAUUUCGGUCUGGUCUCCUUCCUGAUGGAACUUAGCCCAUCUUGCAUGGAAACCAUUUCCUUUGGGAAUCCCGGCCAGCUGCCAUGGUCUCUCCUAGUCUGGGGUAAGUUGUUUCAGGUCUCAGCUGGCUUCCUCUGCAGUCCAUCCUUCAGCAGUUUCAAGAGUAGCUGCUCUUUUUUUUUCUUCUUCUUUCCCAGCUGGCGUAAUUAAGGGGUUCUGCUCAAAAGCCUUCAGGGACUCCCUGUCCUUAAAGUUAGGAGUUGAAACGUCAUCAAAGCACUCUCACGCUCCCCCAGUGGGAUCCUUCUGUACUCCCUCACCAGGCCCUUUCUGGGGCUGUGUUGGCCUUCCAGAGUCUUUCUCAUCUUUCAGGGCACAGGAUAACUGCCACCUCCUCCUCAAUUCUUCCCAGAUUUCCUGAGUUGAAAUGAAUCUUUUCUAUGCCAUGUUCUCAAAGAGUUAGCAAGCUCCUGAACAGUACUCUAGAACUGGCCUUCCCUGUGUCUGCCCUAGGCCAGGUGCAAGGUGCAAUAGUAAUUUUACUGAAUGAUCAUCAAGGGGUUCAAGAGCACCUGCAAGUGCUUACACAAAGCUUCAGUAGGUAGCCAGGCCAGUGCUUCCUCCAGAUGAUGACACCUGAGCCCCCAGGGGCACCCCAGCCCCUCUGCUACCUCCUUCAGGCUAAGCUAUGUUCUCCAAGGCUCCCUCUCCUUGCCUUGGGGCUCUCAGCAGGUGUUUUGUUCUAAUCUGAGGAGGGCCCUGGGGCCAUGGGGUCUCUAAAACACCAGGUGGUGUGCUCAUUUGCUGCCAGCAUAAUUAUUAGGGGAGCGAUGGGGACACCUGAGCCCUGGAUGGGGCUGGUCCGAGACCUGGGAGGAUUCAUUGGAGGGCACUUUUCUAGAGCUGGGGAAGGAGGAAAGGAGGAUCCUGGUUCAGAAGGGGGUAUUUCAAAGGUGUUCUCAAAGGUGUUCCCCCACCCUACCGUCUAAACUGAGUCUGGCCUGACCUCUACACCCUGGAGCCAAAGAGCUGGGAGUUAGGGGCCACAGCAGCCUUGAGACAAAUACUGAGUCCUGAGUCCGGAUCCCCAGCCCUGUCACCUGGCUGGUCAGGGUUGGACCUGGCAAGCAGAAAAACCUGUUGGUCUGAGGUUUCCGUGUGAACAUUCCAGAGAAUGUGGUGGGCGGGACGCAGGUGCUUGGGAAGAUCACGGAUGGUGUCGAGGAAGAGUCCUCCAGAGCUGCCCACCCCUCCCCAUUAUUGCAAGUCUGCUGUUGGUUGGUGAGGGUCUCCCUCUCUGUGGGAAUAUCAAGCUAGCGAGGUGAAGCGUGCAUUUCCACAUCUUGUUCCCACUGAUCCCAACCUUCUUAAUUUAUCCACAAAGAAAGCUGGUGUGGGGGGGCAAACUGACCCAGCCCCACGUCACUCAGCCGGUGGAUGGCCCAGUCCGAUUCCUUCCUGGAAUCCGCCCUCCACGGACCCUAGAGCAAUGCUGUUGGAUUUCAUCACUGCUAUUGUGGAUGGGGACCAAGGGCCAAAGGGGUGUGACCGACAGCAGCAGGGACACUGCACCCUGGUGGUGGCGGUGUUGAAUGGGUUAAGGUGGGAGGUGGCCAGUGUCCCACAACCGCACCUGGCCCAGUAUCGGUCACGUGGCCGGGGUUUCACCUGCCCCGCUGAGCAGGGACAAUCAAACCGCUUGUUCCGCAGCCUGUCUCCAUAGCGACAGGAGUGUGCCUGGGGGAGGUCACCAGGGCAAAUUCCUGCCAGCUGGCUGGGUGGGGCAGGGGUGUCCACGGUGCUGAGGGCCUUCGGGGGUUCCCCCAGGUCCCUUGAGUUUUCCCGGUGGGGCUGCCUUUCCAGGGCCCCUUCUGUCUCUGCACCCGGCACCGCCUCCUGUCCUGGUCCCCGUCAGCCAGAAUUCUCUCUUCCCAGAUUCUGAACCCGGGUUUAUUAAGCUGCCUGGACUUUCACAUACCGUAUCUGGUUUAAUCCGCACGGCAGCUUUUCCCAGCGGGAAAUGGUAAUCCCCGAGGGUUGGUUACCUGGUUUGCCUCCCCACAACUCACUGAGCUCUGGAGAAUGUUCUCUUCCUCCUGCAACAAUUGGCAGAGAAUGGAAGCCUCCUCAACUGGCCAGGCACCUCCCCAGACACCCAAGAACAAACAGCAAAUUAAUGAACAAUGGAUUGUGGGAGCAUUUGCUUUCCUCAGAGCAGGGUAGGUGGGUGGGGUGUAGCUCAGCGGCAGAGCAUGUACUUAGCACGCGCGCCCUGGGUUCAAUGCCCAGUACCAAAAAAAAAAAAAAAAGCAGGGAGGCCCACAGAGGUGGGGACUGCCCAGCACCCUCUGCUGCUCUGGCGUCAAGGACAUCUCUGGGCCCCACCCUGCACCUUCUGCCCUGCCUCCGUAUUCAUCGCUUGCUUUCAUCCACUGGCACCGAAUGGGCCCCUGCUAACAGCAGUGGGUGACACUUUGUCUUCUGCCUCUGGACUCAUGUGCAAAUCCCUGUGUCCCUCAGGGACACUGGUCACACACGCAGAUUCUUAUACAAUCAGGGCGAGUGAACUUGAGGGGGAUGUGGAGGGAGUCUGGGUCUUUGGAAACCGGGAACCACACUCCCCUGGAGAAAGGCCAGCCUCCAGGAUAUAGUCCCAUCUCUUCUGCCUGCGUUUUGGAGCCUUUGUUGAGCACCUACCAAGUGCUGGGCAGUAGGGAUGCAAGAGUGAGCCCAGAUCAACUCAGACCCAACAGACUCUGGAGGACGUACCGUGGCACACUGAGGCUCCCCAGGGGGCCAGGCCUGGCCCUAGGGCAGGCAGGGCAGCUCUGCACAGAGAUGCUUGAAAGAGUGAAGGUCUGAAGGCUCAGUAGGAGUUGGCCAGGCAGAAAGGUUACAGAGAAAGAGAGUGUUCCAGAAGCUAGAGCACCGAGUGCAGUGGGGCAGCCACCCUACCUCCUCAGGAAGACGUCCCUCCUUACCUCUCCUUCCCCAGCCCAGUCCCUACCUAGCUCUCCUUCUGGUGGCUCUGAUUUCCCUCCCUGUACUGCUGCCUCUUUGCUGGACUCGUCCAUCUUGGCCUCUCCAGUGACCUCCCCACUAGGCAAUCAGCAGGAUCUACUCAGAACACACAGUGUUUCUUUUUUUAAUUUCAUGGUACUGGGGAUUGAAUGCAGGGGCGCUUUAUCACGGAGCCACGGCCCAGCCCUUUUUUAUUUUUGAGACAGGUUCUCACUAACUUCUAGUCCUCCUACCUCAGCCUCCUGAGCUGCUGGGAUGUUCUGGUCUGUCUUGUUCUUUCCUACCUUUUCCUGUUUUUCUGUGCUUUGGGUUCUGUGCUUAUUGCCCCAGGGGAUGCAUGUGGCAGCCCUGAGAGUAGAAAAGCUGGUUUAUGUGUUUCCAAAGCUGCAGACCUUCGGGGAAUGGAAUGCCUCAGUAGAGACAUCGCCAAGGGCCAAGGAUGGGAGGGGAGCUGCCCCUGUGUCUUGGCUAGGUCCCCAGAGAGGAUAUGCAUAUCAGGGAUUGAACCUAGAGUACUUAACCACUGCCACAUUCCCAACCCUUUUUUACGUUUUACUUAGAGACAGGGUCUCACUGAGUUGCUUAGAAACUCACUAAAUUGC